UACAGAGGUCUCAAGCGUUGUUCGGAUUCAUUGGGCGUAAAGGGUGCGUAGGCGGCGCGGUAAGUCGGGUGUGAAAUCUCGGAGCUUAACUCCGAAACUGCAUUCGAUACUGCCGUGCUUGAGGACUGGAGAGGAGACUGGAAUUUACGGUGUAGCAGUGAAAUGCGUAGAGAUCGUAAGGAAGACCAGUGGCGAAGGCGGGUCUCUGGACAGUUCCUGACGCUGAGGCGCGAAGGCCAGGGGAGCAAACGGG
RNAcentral lists this ribosomal RNA (253 nucleotides) under uncultured bacterium. RNAcentral describes it as "partial 16S ribosomal RNA". It matches the Rfam family "Bacterial small subunit ribosomal RNA", at positions 524 to 776 of the family's 1533-position model. The record is from RNAcentral.